This 117-nucleotide ribosomal RNA is filed under the name Lepisosteus oculatus (spotted gar). Lineage: Eukaryota; Metazoa; Chordata; Actinopteri; Semionotiformes; Lepisosteidae. The record is from RNAcentral.
GCCAACAGCUAUAUCACCCUGCAGCUCUCAACUUGGUAGUCACUGAAGCUAAGCAGGGUUGAGCCUGGUCAGUACCUGGAUGAGAGACUUCCUGGGAAGCUAUAGUUGCUGCUGGAA